GACGAACGCUGGCGGCGUGCUUAACACAUGCAAGUCGAACGGAAAGGCCCUGCUUUUGUGGGGUGCUCGAGUGGCGAACGGGUGAGUAACACGUGAGUAACCUGCCCUUGACUUUGGGAUAACUUCAGGAAACUGGGGCUAAUACCGGAUAGGAGCUCCUGCUGCAUGGUGGGGGUUGGAAAGUUUCGGCGGUUGGGGAUGGACUCGCGGCUUAUCAGCUUGUUGGUGGGGUAGUGGCUUACCAAGGCUUUGACGGGUAGCCGGCCUGAGAGGGUGACCGGCCACAUUGGGACUGAGAUACGACACAGAGUCCUACGGGAGGCAGCAGUGGGGAAUAUUGCACAAUGGGCGGAAGCCUGAUGCAGCAACGCCGCGUGCGGGAUGACGGCCUUCGGGUUGUAAACCGCUUUCGCCUGUGACGAAGCGUGAGUGACGGUAAUGGGUAAAGAAGCACCGGCUAACUACGUG
This 468-nucleotide ribosomal RNA is filed under the name uncultured bacterium. Its description in RNAcentral is "partial 16S ribosomal RNA". It matches the Rfam family "Bacterial small subunit ribosomal RNA", at positions 28 to 507 of the family's 1533-position model. The record is from RNAcentral.